AAGUCGUAACAAGGUUUCCUUCCCGUUAAGAGUUUUAACUACAGAAGCCUUACACAGCGACUGUAAAUAACUGUGGAGUCUUACCAUAGGUAAAGACAAUACCGCUGAAAUGCUGUGAUCACGACAAAGUGUACCAGCAGCCUAAUCCAGGCCCACAGAUCAAGUGGCGGUGGUCUUAGCUACACAGCUUUAGACUAUGAUAUGACCGGUUCUUAUCCUGACGGUUAAGAGCUUUAACGUUCCGUAGGUGAACCUGCGGAAGGAUCAUUAAAAGGUCAAUAUCCCCAUUUCAAAAGACCCAUUUCUAUAUAUAUCUUUCCUGUGCCGGCUUCAGACGCCACCACCCCAACAUUCCCUUGCGGAAGUCCUCGACGAUGGGGUGUGGGUGUCUGGGGCCGGCCAGGAAGCCAGAGUUCAAGAAUCCGGGGGGUUGGGGUGUCCUUCAUCCUUUGUUUAACUACCAUGUUGCUUUGGCGGGCCCGUCUUUAACCGGACCGCCGGAGGUCAAAGCCUCUGGCCAGCGCCCGUCAGUAGCCCACAACAAAUUCUUUUAACCAUGUAUCUUCUGAAAUAGUUAAAUAACUAAA
This 587-nucleotide unclassified non-coding RNA is filed under the name plant metagenome. Its description in RNAcentral is "partial contains small subunit ribosomal RNA and internal transcribed spacer 1". The record is from RNAcentral.